Molecule: ribosomal RNA, 89 nt
Filed under: Paenibacillus tianmuensis
Lineage: Bacteria; Bacillati; Bacillota; Bacilli; Caryophanales; Paenibacillaceae
Description: 16S rRNA. Bacterial SSU
Rfam family: Bacterial small subunit ribosomal RNA
Source: RNAcentral
CUUUAAUGGAGAGUUUGAUCCUGGCUCAGGACGAACGCUGGCGGCGUGCCUAAUACAUGCAAGUCGAGCGGGUUUUACCUUCGGGUAAA